This 569-nucleotide ribosomal RNA is filed under the name Peptoniphilus faecalis. Its description in RNAcentral is "Peptoniphilus sp. AGMB00490 partial 23S ribosomal RNA". It matches the Rfam family "Bacterial large subunit ribosomal RNA", at positions 2353 to 2925 of the family's 2925-position model. Lineage: Bacteria; Bacillati; Bacillota; Tissierellia; Tissierellales; Peptoniphilaceae. The record is from RNAcentral.
AAAGGCAGAAGGGAGCUUAACUGCGAGACCAACAAGUCGAGCAGAUGCGAAAGCAGGACUUAGUGAUCCGGUGGUACCGAGUGGAAGGGCCAUCGCUCAACGGAUAAAAGCUACCCCGGGGAUAACAGGCUUAUCUCCCCCAAGAGUCCACAUCGACGGGGAGGUUUGGCACCUCGAUGUCGGCUCGUCUCAUCCUGGGGCUGAAGUAGGUCCCAAGGGUUGGGCUGUUCGCCCAUUAAAGAGGCACGCGAGCUGGGUUCAGAACGUCGCGAGACAGUUCGGUCCCUAUCCGUCGUGGGCGUAGGAAAUUUGAGAGGAGCUGUCCUUAGUACGAGAGGACCGGGAUGGACAAACCGCUGGUGAACCAGUUGUACUGCCAAGUGCAUAGCUGGGAAGCUAAGUUUGGAAGGGAUAAGAGCUGAAGGCAUCUAAGCACGAAGCCCCCCUCGAGAUGAGAUUUCCCUCGAAAGAUAAGACCCCUUGAAGAAAACGAGGUAGAUAGGCUCAAGGUGUAAGUGUAGCAAUACAUUAAGCUAGCGAGUACUAAUAGGUCGAAGACUUGACCAAAA